CUCAGUAACGGCGAGUGAAGCGGCAAGAGCUCAAAUUUGAAAUCUGGCCCCCUUGGGGGUCCGAGUUGUAAUUUGGAGAGGAUGCUUCGGGCGUGGCCCCCAUCUAAGUGCCCUGGAACGGGCCGUCAUAGAGGGUGAGAAUCCCGUCUGGGAUGGGUGGCCUCGCCCGUGUGAAGCUCCUUCGAAGAGUCGAGUUGUUUGGGAAUGCAGCUCUAAGAGGGUGGUAAAUUUCAUCUAAAGCUAAAUAUUGGCCGGAGACCGAUAGCGCACAAGUAGAGUGAUCGAAAGAUGAAAAGCACUUUGAAAAGAGAGUUAAACAGCACGUGAAAUUGUUGAAAGGGAAGCGUUGUCCCCCAGACGCACCCGGGAGGGUUCAGCCGGCACUUGUGCCGGUGCACUCCUUCCUGGGUGGGCCAGCGUCGGUUUGGGCGGCCGGUCAAAGGCCCUGGGAAUGUAGCUCCCUCCGGGGAGCCUUAUAGCCCGGGGUGCCCUGCGACCUGCCCGGACCGAGGAACGCGCUUCGGCUCGGACGCUGGCGUAAUGGGGGUCAACGGCCCGUCUUGAAACACGGACCAAGGAGUCUAACAUCUAUGCGAGUGUUCGAGUGUCAAACUCGUCCGCGCAGUGAAAGCGAACGGAGGUGGGAGCCCCGUCCCGGGGCGCACCAUCGACCGAUCCUGAUGUCUUCGGAUGGAUUUGAGUAAGAGCAUAGCUGUUGGGACCCGAAAGAUGGUGAACUAUGCCUGAAUAGGGCGAAGCCAGAGGAAACUCUGGUGGAGGCUCGCAGCGGUUCUGACGUGCAAAUCGAUCGUC
This 813-nucleotide ribosomal RNA is filed under the name Talaromyces sp. CMV-2021a. Its description in RNAcentral is "partial large subunit ribosomal RNA". It matches the Rfam family "Eukaryotic large subunit ribosomal RNA", at positions 79 to 906 of the family's 3401-position model. The record is from RNAcentral. Lineage: Eukaryota; Fungi; Ascomycota; Eurotiomycetes; Eurotiales; Trichocomaceae.